Molecule: ribosomal RNA, 497 nt
Filed under: uncultured bacterium
Lineage: Bacteria
Description: partial 16S ribosomal RNA
Rfam family: Bacterial small subunit ribosomal RNA
Source: RNAcentral
GAUGAACGCUGGCGGCGUGCCUAAUACAUGCAAGUCGAGCGAACAGAUGAGGAGCUUGCUCCUCUGACGUUAGCGGCGGACGGGUGAGUAACACGUGGAUAACCUACCUAUAAGACUGGGAUAACUUCGGGAAACCGGAGCUAAUACCGGAUAAUAUAUUGAACCGCAUGGGUCAAUAGUGAAAGACGGUUUUGCUGUCACUUAUAGAUGGAUCCGCGCCGCAUUAGCUAGUUGUUAAGGUAACGGCUUACGAAGGCAACGAGGCGUAGCCGACCUGAGAGAGGGGUCGGCCACAUUGGAACUGGGACACGGUCAAGACGACUACGGGAGGGAGCAGAAGGGAAUCUUACGCAAUGGGGGAAAGCAUGACAGAACAAGGGCGAGUGAGUGACGAAGGUGUUGGGAUCGUAAAAAUCUGUUAUUAGGGGAGAACCAAUGUGGAAGGAAACAAGGACGUAUUGACGGUACCUAAUCAGAAAGCAACGGCUAACUACGUG